This 575-nucleotide long non-coding RNA is filed under the name Ananas comosus (pineapple). RNAcentral describes it as "long non-coding RNA (ACOM_LNC002912)". Lineage: Eukaryota; Viridiplantae; Streptophyta; Magnoliopsida; Poales; Bromeliaceae. The record is from RNAcentral.
AAUUAUAGUAUUUAUUAUAAGAGUAAUGCUUCUAUAUUUGUUAUUUUUCACUACCGUUCAUUUAUUUCUAUUCAAUGGUUUACACUUAAUUUUUCUUCUUUAAAUUGUGACCUGCAAUAAUAGGUCACUUUGAGAGAGGUACCGGUUAUCAGGUACCAAAAAAAUGGAUUCUUUAGUCUUUAAUACGUGGAUAAUUUAAUAAUUUUACUUUCACUAUAUUAUCAAAUAUCUCUUCUCUCUUCGUUUCUUUUUUCUCUCUCUAUCUUUCCUCUUCAUUCAUAGUAGAGAUGUAAAGGGGUUGGAUUCGGGAUGGAUUUUCAAAAAUCUGAACCCAAAUUUAACUAUCAAACCUGAAACUUAAACCCAAAUCCAAAUCCGACGAAUAUUAGAAAAUCAUAUUCACACUCGUACUCGACUUAAAAUCCGAAACCCAAACCCUAACCAGGACCCAAAAACUCGAACCUGAAAUAUUAUUCCUCUUUACAAUAUUUCAAAAUAUAUUCCUAAUCAAUUACCCACAUUCAAAUUUUUUUUUAAAUAGUAAUACAAAAUUAAUGUCUAAGCUAGAAAAAUUU